AUUGAACGCUGGCGGCAGGCUUAACACAUGCAAGUCGAACGUGAAAGCUCUUCGGAGUGAGUAGAGUGGCGGACGGGUGAGUAACGCGUAGGAAUCUACCUGGUAGUGGGGGACAACCUGGUGAAAACCAGGCUAAUACCGCAUACGCCCCAUGGGGGAAAGUGUGGGAUCUUCGGACCACACGCUAUCAGAUGAGCCUGCGUAAGAUUAGCUAGUUGGUGGGGUAAAGGCCUACCAAGGCGACGAUCUUUAGCUGGUCUGAGAGGAUGAUCAGCCACACUGGGACUGAGACACGGCCCAG
RNAcentral lists this ribosomal RNA (301 nucleotides) under uncultured bacterium. RNAcentral's name for it is "bacterial SSU rRNA". It matches the Rfam family "Bacterial small subunit ribosomal RNA", at positions 30 to 334 of the family's 1533-position model. The record is from RNAcentral.